RNAcentral lists this ribosomal RNA (493 nucleotides) under Pseudomonas aeruginosa. Its description in RNAcentral is "bacterial SSU rRNA". It matches the Rfam family "Bacterial small subunit ribosomal RNA", at positions 37 to 525 of the family's 1533-position model. The record is from RNAcentral. Lineage: Bacteria; Pseudomonadati; Pseudomonadota; Gammaproteobacteria; Pseudomonadales; Pseudomonadaceae.
UGGCGGCAGGCCUAACACAUGCAAGUCGAGCGGAUGAAGGGAGCUUGCUCCUGGAUUCAGCGGCGGACGGGUGAGUAAUGCCUAGGAAUCUGCCUGGUAGUGGGGGAUAACGUCCGGAAACGGGCGCUAAUACCGCAUACGUCCUGAGGGAGAAAGUGGGGGAUCUUCGGACCUCACGCUAUCAGAUGAGCCUAGGUCGGAUUAGCUAGUUGGUGGGGUAAAGGCCUACCAAGGCGACGAUCCGUAACUGGUCUGAGAGGAUGAUCAGUCACACUGGAACUGAGACACGGUCCAGACUCCUACGGGAGGCAGCAGUGGGGAAUAUUGGACAAUGGGCGAAAGCCUGAUCCAGCCAUGCCGCGUGUGUGAAGAAGGUCUUCGGAUUGUAAAGCACUUUAAGUUGGGAGGAAGGGCAGUAAGUUAAUACCUUGCUGUUUUGACGUUACCAACAGAAUAAGCACCGGCUAACUUCGUGCCAGCCGCCGCGGUAAUU